RNAcentral lists this ribosomal RNA (449 nucleotides) under uncultured Bifidobacterium sp. RNAcentral's name for it is "bacterial SSU rRNA". It matches the Rfam family "Bacterial small subunit ribosomal RNA", at positions 338 to 795 of the family's 1533-position model. Lineage: Bacteria; Bacillati; Actinomycetota; Actinomycetes; Bifidobacteriales; Bifidobacteriaceae. The record is from RNAcentral.
CCUACGGGUGGCAGCAGUGGGGAAUAUUGCACAAUGGGCGCAAGCCUGAUGCAGCGACGCCGCGUGCGGGAUGGAGGCCUUCGGGUUGUAAACCGCUUUUGAUCGGGAGCAAGCCCUUCGGGGUGAGUGUACCUUUCGAAUAAGCACCGGCUAACUACGUGCCAGCAGCCGCGGUAAUACGUAGGGUGCAAGCGUUAUCCGGAAUUAUUGGGCGUAAAGGGCUCGUAGGCGGUUCGUCGCGUCCGGUGUGAAAGCCCAUCGCUUAACGGUGGGUCUGCGCCGGGUACGGGCGGGCUGGAGUGCGGUAGGGGAGACUGGAAUUCCCGGUGUAACGGUGGAAUGUGUAGAUAUCGGGAAGAACACCAAUGGCGAAGGCAGGUCUCUGGGCCGUCACUGACGCUGAGGAGCGAAAGCGUGGGGAGCGAACAGGAUUAGAUACCCCAGUAGUC